Molecule: non-coding RNA, 45 nt
Organism: Alligator mississippiensis (American alligator)
Lineage: Eukaryota; Metazoa; Chordata; Crocodylia; Alligatoridae
Source: Rfam
AAUAAGGAUUUAUUUGAAUCCAUGAUCAGUAAAUAAAAGAGAUUA